CCUACGGGAGGCAGCAGUGGGGAAUAUUGGGCAAUGGGCGCAAGCCUGACCCAGCAACACCGCGUGAAGGAAGAAGGCUUUCGGGUUGUAAACUUCUUUUGUCAGGGACGAAGCAAGUGACGGUACCUGACUAAUAAGCCACGGCUAACUACGUGCCAGCAGCCGCGGUAAUACGCAGGUGGCAAGCGUUAUCCGGAUUUACUGGGGGUAAAGGGCGUGUAGGCGGGACUGCAAGUCAGAUGUGAAAACCACGGGCGCAACCUGUGGCCUGCAUUUGAAACUGUAGUUCUUGAGUACGGGAGAGGCAGACGGAAGUCCUGGUGUAGCGGUGAAAUGCGUAGAUAUUAGGAGGAACACCAGUGGCGAAGGCGGUCUACUGGACAGCAACUGACGCUGAGGCGCGAAAGCGUGGGGAGCAAACAGGAUUAGAUACCCCUGUAGUC
RNAcentral lists this ribosomal RNA (443 nucleotides) under uncultured bacterium. RNAcentral's name for it is "partial 16S ribosomal RNA". It matches the Rfam family "Bacterial small subunit ribosomal RNA", at positions 338 to 795 of the family's 1533-position model. The record is from RNAcentral.